This 56-nucleotide transfer RNA is filed under the name Angiostrongylus costaricensis. RNAcentral describes it as "tRNA-Tyr". The record is from RNAcentral. Lineage: Eukaryota; Metazoa; Nematoda; Chromadorea; Rhabditida; Metastrongylidae.
GGGGAUCUAUUUUAAUUGAAAAUAUUAGAUUGUAAAUCUAAAGAUAUUGAUUCUUG